This 253-nucleotide ribosomal RNA is filed under the name uncultured bacterium. RNAcentral's name for it is "partial 16S ribosomal RNA". It matches the Rfam family "Bacterial small subunit ribosomal RNA", at positions 524 to 776 of the family's 1533-position model. The record is from RNAcentral.
UACGUAGGCAGCGAGCGUUGUUCGGAGUUACUGGGCGUAAAGAGUGCGUAGGCGGUUUUCUAAGUUUGGUGUGAAAGCCCCCGGCUCAACUGGGGAGGGUCAUUCGAUACUGAUCGACUCGAAGGCAGGAGAGGGAAGUGGAAUUCCCGGUGUAGUGGUGAAAUGCGUAGAUAUCGGGAGGAACACCAGUGGCGAAGGCGACUUCCUGGCCUGUUCUUGACGCUGAGGCGCGAAAGCUAGGGGAGCAAACGGG